GCCUUGGUAGCUCAGUCGGUAGAGCAGAGGAUUGAAAAUCCUCGUGUCGGCGGUUCGAUUCCGUCCCAAGGCACCA
RNAcentral lists this transfer RNA (76 nucleotides) under Thiopseudomonas alkaliphila. Its description in RNAcentral is "tRNA-Phe(gaa)". It matches the Rfam family "tRNA". Rfam says of the family: Transfer RNA (tRNA) molecules are approximately 80 nucleotides in length. Their secondary structure includes four short double-helical elements and three loops (D, anti-codon, and T loops). Further hydrogen bonds mediate the characteristic L-shaped molecular structure. tRNAs have two regions of fundamental functional importance: the anti-codon, which is responsible for specific mRNA codon recognition, and the 3' end, to which the tRNAs corresponding amino acid is attached (by aminoacyl-tRNA synthetases). tRNAs cope with the degeneracy of the genetic code in two manners: having more than one tRNA (with a specific anti-codon) for a particular amino acid; and 'wobble' base-pairing, i.e. permitting non-standard base-pairing at the 3rd anti-codon position. The record is from RNAcentral. RNAcentral also lists the same sequence under 1 other name. Lineage: Bacteria; Pseudomonadati; Pseudomonadota; Gammaproteobacteria; Pseudomonadales; Pseudomonadaceae.